UAUUAUUUAAUAUGUAAUGUUAAUAUAACCUGGGUAGUAAUAGUUAUGAUCUUGAAACUCAAAGAAUUUGGCGGUGUUUUAGUCCUUUCAGAGGAAUCUGUCCUGUAAUUGAUAUUACACGAUUUUAUGUACUUGGUUUUGUUAAUCAGUUUAUAUACCGCCGUCGUAAGAUUAUCUUGUGGAGGGAAUUAAAUUUCUUUAUUUUUAAUUUGAAUUUAUGUCAGGUCAAGGUGUAGCUUAUAAUUAAGUAGAGAUGGAUUACAAUGAUUUUAUUUAUGAUGGAUAAUUAAUUUAAUUUUGAUUUGAAAGUGGAUUUGAUUGUAAAUGGAUUGAGAUUAGUUUUUUGAUUUUGGCUCUAAAAUGUGUACAUAUCGCCCGUCGCUCUCGUUUUAAGAUGAG
Molecule: ribosomal RNA, 399 nt
Filed under: Anurogryllus sp. (Urogryllus) FGu
Lineage: Eukaryota; Metazoa; Arthropoda; Insecta; Orthoptera; Gryllidae
Description: partial 12S ribosomal RNA
Source: RNAcentral